UGGGGAAUAUUGCGCAAUGGGGGCAACCCUGACGCAGCAACGCCGCGUGAAGGAAGAAGGUUUUCGGAUUGUAAACUUCAGCAAGCAGGGAAGAAAGAAAUGACGGUACCUGAACAAAAGCCACGGCUAACUACGUGCCAGCAGCCGCGGUAAUACGUAGGUGGCAAGCGUUGUCCGGAUUUACUGGGUGUAAAGGGCGCGUAGGCGGGCAUGUAAGUCAGACGUGAAAUACCGGGGCUCAACCCCGGGGCUGCGUUUGAAACUGCAAGUCUUGAGUGCCGGAGAGGAAAGCGGAAUUCCUAGUGUAGCGGUGAAAUGCGUAGAUAUUAGGAGGAACACCAGUGGCGAAGGCGGCUUUCUGGACGGUAACUGACGCUGAGGCGCGAAAGCGUGGGGAGCAAACAGGAUUAGAUACC
This 416-nucleotide ribosomal RNA is filed under the name uncultured bacterium. Its description in RNAcentral is "bacterial SSU rRNA". It matches the Rfam family "Bacterial small subunit ribosomal RNA", at positions 355 to 786 of the family's 1533-position model. The record is from RNAcentral.